Molecule: ribosomal RNA, 253 nt
Filed under: uncultured bacterium
Lineage: Bacteria
Description: partial 16S ribosomal RNA
Rfam family: Bacterial small subunit ribosomal RNA
Source: RNAcentral
UACGGAGGAUGCAAGCGUUAUCCGGAAUUAUUGGGCGUAAAGCGUCCGCAGGUGGCACUUCAAGUCUGCAGUCAAAGGCUGGGGCUUAACCCCAGAGAGGCAGUGGAAACUGAAGAGCUAGAGGGUCGUAGGGGUAGAGGGAAUUCCUGGUGUAGCGGUGAAAUGCGUAGAGAUCAGGAAGAACAUCGGUGGCGAAAGCGCUCUACUGGACGGCAACUGACACUCAGGGACGAAAGCUAGGGGAGCGAAUGGG